Long non-coding RNA from Fulmarus glacialis (Northern fulmar), 816 nucleotides. RefSeq lists it as uncharacterized. Lineage: Eukaryota; Metazoa; Chordata; Aves; Procellariiformes; Procellariidae. The transcript is spliced from 5 exons. The record is from RefSeq and is a predicted model, not a curated record.
GGCUCCACGGAAAGACUGUGGAAACGCAGAGAGCGGGGAAAUGAAGAGGGACACGUCACUCAUUGCAAGCUGAAAUGCAGAGGGGGUGGUGAGGAGAAGAGGAGCAGGGAGGCAGAGAUUUGGAAGCCUCAUCACAGAAGGACUGGCCUCAAGAGCACAGUAUUUUCUAGUGUGACACUGCAAGGGAUCCAGAGACAUAUUUGCAAUGGGCUUGGGAUCUGGUUCCUAUUACAGAUGACCCUGCAGACUUUUUCUGCUAGAAACCUUAUUAGUGAAUAUCCAUUUGCCUUCUACAAUUCCACCUAAGGGAGGGAAGAUUGCUCAAUUUCUGUAGCAGGGGAAAGUCAAGGUCCUACAAACAGCCAUCAUGGUGACUCUUCCUCUUUUCCUCUUCUUCGUCCUCUUGCCCUGCAGUAAAUCCCAGGAGGAAUUUCUGGACCACCAGAAAUGGAACUACAGAGAAGGCGCUGACAAAGUCAACAUAGAAGGCAUUAACAGCAUUACUCAAACACUUGAGAAAUGGGGAAACGGCAUCUUCUGGCAAAUGAAACACACCCUACCGAAUGCUUUGCUGCCUGAGUUCUCCAGUCUCCGCCCUGUCUCCGCAGCUGUGGACAAUCUCGUGAGGGAAGUCCAGUCGAUAAGGAAAAGGCUAGAAGAACUGAACGAACGUCUCAAUGUCAUCAGCAAAACCAUCCUUCCCAUCCGAAUGAAUGCUCUGCAGAGCCAGAGGCGUGGAAAUACUCAGCUGCGGAGACUUCCAAUGCAUAGGAGAAGGUUGUAUGCUCGCAGGAGACCCCAGAGGAGUUAAUUCUC